GGGGGAAAUUGUCUCUGUCUCUUGCUUGCCGAAGGUGACAUAAUGGGAUUUCUUCCCUUUGUCCUGGUGACAGGAUGAUGAGCACUGUCUGGGCUCCAGUUCUGCACGCUUUGCCAUUCGCGCAUCCUGACUCCACCGACAGCCCGAAGAUCCAAGGAGAAAGCUCUACCUUUGCCCAAUAAAUGCAAUGGAGUUGCCCAAUCAUUCAAACUACCAAAAACACCCCCUCAAGCUUCCCAUGAUGCCCCCACUGAGAACCACUAACUUAGUGAAACUGAGGAUAAAGAUCAACAGUUGGAAGCUUCCAGAAGCAAAUUGCAUGGGACCCCACUGCCAUGAACAGAAAGUGCAUUUCCCUGGGAAGGAGCCACAACCAGUUUGCAUCCACUAAGCUGAGUUUACAAAUCUCUGAUUGUCUGGUGAAUUCAAGUGGCUCACAUCACAAAGCCAUUCUGCAUGACCAAGAGGAGAGAAGCUACACACUUCCCCAAGAUAAGAUGUUGCCAAGAUGGUGCCUUGAAUGGAAUUAUAUACUGUUCUAGGCACAAGUAAGUGCCAGUGAUGUUUCUACUAAAACUGUCAAGUGAGACCAAGGGACCAUGAACUGUUGUCCCUCUGCCACCCUGCCUUGGAACCAGUCCAUUAUGGACCGGAGGAACCCUUAUGAACUGUAAGCC
Long non-coding RNA from Heterocephalus glaber (naked mole-rat), 677 nucleotides. RefSeq lists it as uncharacterized. NCBI's taxonomy places the organism in Eukaryota, Metazoa, Chordata, Mammalia, Rodentia, Bathyergidae. The record is from RefSeq and is a predicted model, not a curated record.